GUAGAAACUCUACCGUUGAAAAUACAUAAGUGAUAAGGUCCAGGCAUGGCCGAAUGGCCAGCCCCCUAAACGUGAUCAAAGGAUUAUAGAUAAUCCAAAGAUGUAAAAACAAUAGUAAAAAGUUCUAUUUAUACUAAACUAGUUACUAGGG
Molecule: non-coding RNA, 151 nt
Organism: Arachis ipaensis
Lineage: Eukaryota; Viridiplantae; Streptophyta; Magnoliopsida; Fabales; Fabaceae
Source: RefSeq, a predicted model, not a curated record